GACGGAGGGUGCAAGCGUUGUUCGGAUUGACUGGGCGUAAAGGGCGUGUAGGCGGUUGCCCAAGCCCGAUGUGAAAGCCCGAGGCUUAGCCUCGGAAGUGCAUCGGAAACUAGGCAGCUGGAGCGCGAUAGAGGAGGGUAGAAUUCCUGGUGUAGCGGUGAAAUGCGUAGAUAUCAGGAGGAAUACCGGCGGCGAAGGCGGCCCUCUGGAUCGUUGCUGACGCUGAGACGCGAAAGCGUGGGGAGCAAACAGG
Molecule: ribosomal RNA, 253 nt
Filed under: uncultured bacterium
Lineage: Bacteria
Description: partial 16S ribosomal RNA
Rfam family: Bacterial small subunit ribosomal RNA
Source: RNAcentral